Molecule: ribosomal RNA, 2901 nt
Filed under: Escherichia coli EC1738
Lineage: Bacteria; Pseudomonadati; Pseudomonadota; Gammaproteobacteria; Enterobacterales; Enterobacteriaceae
Description: bacterial LSU rRNA
Rfam family: Bacterial large subunit ribosomal RNA
Source: RNAcentral
UAAGCGACUAAGCGUACACGGUGGAUGCCCUGGCAGUCAGAGGCGAUGAAGGACGUGCUAAUCUGCGAUAAGCGUCGGUAAGGUGAUAUGAACCGUUAUAACCGGCGAUUUCCGAAUGGGGAAACCCAGUGUGUUUCGACACACUAUCAUUAACUGAAUCCAUAGGUUAAUGAGGCGAACCGGGGGAACUGAAACAUCUAAGUACCCCGAGGAAAAGAAAUCAACCGAGAUUCCCCCAGUAGCGGCGAGCGAACGGGGAGGAGCCCAGAGCCUGAAUCAGUGUGUGUGUUAGUGGAAGCGUCUGGAAAGGCGCGCGAUACAGGGUGACAGCCCCGUACACAAAAAUGCACAUGCUGUGAGCUCGAUGAGUAGGGCGGGACACGUGGUAUCCUGUCUGAAUAUGGGGGGACCAUCCUCCAAGGCUAAAUACUCCUGACUGACCGAUAGUGAACCAGUACCGUGAGGGAAAGGCGAAAAGAACCCCGGCGAGGGGAGUGAAAAAGAACCUGAAACCGUGUACGUACAAGCAGUGGGAGCCUCUUUUAUGGGGUGACUGCGUACCUUUUGUAUAAAUGGGUCAGCGACUUAUAAUUCUGUAGCAAGGUUAACCGAAUAGGGGAGCCGAAGGGAAACCGAGUCUUAACCGGGCGUUAAGUUGCAGGGUAUAGACCCGAAACCCGGUGAUCUAGCCAUGGGCAGGUUGAAGGUUGGGUAACACUAACUGGAGGACCGAACCGACUAAUGUUGAAAAAUUAGCGGAUGACUUGUGGCUGGGGGUGAAAGGCCAAUCAAACCGGGAGAUAGCUGGUUCUCCCCGAAAGCUAUUUAGGUAGCGCCUCGUGAAUUCAUCUCCGGGGGUAGAGCACUGUUUCGGCAAGGGGGUCAUCCCGACUUACCAACCCGAUGCAAACUGCGAAUACCGGAGAAUGUUAUCACGGGAGACACACGGCGGGUGCUAACGUCCGUCGUGAAGAGGGAAACAACCCAGACCGCCAGCUAAGGUCCCAAAGUCAUGGUUAAGUGGGAAACGAUGUGGGAAGGCCCAGACAGCCAGGAUGUUGGCUUAGAAGCAGCCAUCAUUUAAAGAAAGCGUAAUAGCUCACUGGUCGAGUCGGCCUGCGCGGAAGAUGUAACGGGGCUAAACCAUGCACCGAAGCUGCGGCAGCGACACUGUGUGUUGUUGGGUAGGGGAGCGUUCUGUAAGCCUGUGAAGGUGUACUGUGAGGUAUGCUGGAGGUAUCAGAAGUGCGAAUGCUGACAUAAGUAACGAUAAAGCGGGUGAAAAGCCCGCUCGCCGGAAGACCAAGGGUUCCUGUCCAACGUUAAUCGGGGCAGGGUGAGUCGACCCCUAAGGCGAGGCCGAAAGGCGUAGUCGAUGGGAAACAGGUUAAUAUUCCUGUACUUGGUGUUACUGCGAAGGGGGGACGGAGAAGGCUAUGUUGGCCGGGCGACGGUUGUCCCGGUUUAAGCGUGUAGGCUGGUUUUCCAGGCAAAUCCGGAAAAUCAAGGCUGAGGCGUGAUGACGAGGCACUACGGUGCUGAAGCAACAAAUGCCCUGCUUCCAGGAAAAGCCUCUAAGCAUCAGGUAACAUCAAAUCGUACCCCAAACCGACACAGGUGGUCAGGUAGAGAAUACCAAGGCGCUUGAGAGAACUCGGGUGAAGGAACUAGGCAAAAUGGUGCCGUAACUUCGGGAGAAGGCACGCUGAUAUGUAGGUGAAGUCCCUCGCGGAUGGAGCUGAAAUCAGUCGAAGAUACCAGCUGGCUGCAACUGUUUAUUAAAAACACAGCACUGUGCAAACACGAAAGUGGACGUAUACGGUGUGACGCCUGCCCGGUGCCGGAAGGUUAAUUGAUGGGGUCAGCGCAAGCGAAGCUCUUGAUCGAAGCCCCGGUAAACGGCGGCCGUAACUAUAACGGUCCUAAGGUAGCGAAAUUCCUUGUCGGGUAAGUUCCGACCUGCACGAAUGGCGUAAUGAUGGCCAGGCUGUCUCCACCCGAGACUCAGUGAAAUUGAACUCGCUGUGAAGAUGCAGUGUACCCGCGGCAAGACGGAAAGACCCCGUGAACCUUUACUAUAGCUUGACACUGAACAUUGAGCCUUGAUGUGUAGGAUAGGUGGGAGGCUUUGAAGUGUGGACGCCAGUCUGCAUGGAGCCGACCUUGAAAUACCACCCUUUAAUGUUUGAUGUUCUAACGUGGACCCGUGAUCCGGGUUGCGGACAGUGUCUGGUGGGUAGUUUGACUGGGGCGGUCUCCUCCUAAAGAGUAACGGAGGAGCACGAAGGUUGGCUAAUCCUGGUCGGACAUCAGGAGGUUAGUGCAAUGGCAUAAGCCAGCUUGACUGCGAGCGUGACGGCGCGAGCAGGUGCGAAAGCAGGUCAUAGUGAUCCGGUGGUUCUGAAUGGAAGGGCCAUCGCUCAACGGAUAAAAGGUACUCCGGGGAUAACAGGCUGAUACCGCCCAAGAGUUCAUAUCGACGGCGGUGUUUGGCACCUCGAUGUCGGCUCAUCACAUCCUGGGGCUGAAGUAGGUCCCAAGGGUAUGGCUGUUCGCCAUUUAAAGUGGUACGCGAGCUGGGUUUAGAACGUCGUGAGACAGUUCGGUCCCUAUCUGCCGUGGGCGCUGGAGAACUGAGGGGGGCUGCUCCUAGUACGAGAGGACCGGAGUGGACGCAUCACUGGUGUUCGGGUUGUCAUGCCAAUGGCACUGCCCGGUAGCUAAAUGCGGAAGAGAUAAGUGCUGAAAGCAUCUAAGCACGAAACUUGCCCCGAGAUGAGUUCUCCCUGACCCUUUAAGGGUCCUGAAGGAACGUUGAAGACGACGACGUUGAUAGGCCGGGUGUGUAAGCGCAGCGAUGCGUUGAGCUAACCGGUACUAAUGAACCGUGAGGCUUAACCU